AUUGAACGCUGGCGGCAUGCCUUACACAUGCAAGUCGAACGGCAGCACGGGUGCUUGCCCCUGGUGGCGAGUGGCGAACGGGUGAGUAAUACAUCGGAACAUGUCCCGUAGUGGGGGAUAGCCCGGCGAAAGCCGGAUUAAUACCGCAUACGAACUACGGAUGAAAGCGGGGGCCCUUCGGGCCUCGCGCUUUAGGGUUGGCCGAUGGCUGAUUAGCUAGUUGGUGGGGUAAAGGCCUACCAAGGCGACGAUCAGUAGCUGGUCUGAGAGGACGACCAGCCACACUGGGACUGAGACACGGCCCAGACUCCUACGGGAGGCAGCAGUGGGGAAUUUUUGACAAUGGGCGAAAGCCUGAUCCAGCAAUGCCGCGUGUGUGAAGAAGGCCUUCGGGUUGUAAAGCACUUUUGUCCGGAAAGAAAUCCUUGGCCCUAAUACGGUCGGGGGAUGACGGUACCGUAAGAAUAAGCACCGGCUAACUACGUG
RNAcentral lists this ribosomal RNA (486 nucleotides) under uncultured bacterium. RNAcentral's name for it is "partial 16S ribosomal RNA". It matches the Rfam family "Bacterial small subunit ribosomal RNA", at positions 30 to 507 of the family's 1533-position model. The record is from RNAcentral.